ACGGGAGAGUAACACGUGGGAACGUGCCCUUUGGUUCGGAAUAACUCAGGGAAACUUGAGCUAAUACCGGAUAAGCCCUUCGGGGGAAAGAUUUAUUGCCAUUGGAGCGGCCCGCGUCGGAUUAGCUAGUUGGUGAGGUAAUGGCUCACCAAGGCGACGAUCCGUAGCUGGUCUGAGAGGAUGACCAGCCUCACUGGGACUGAGACACGGCCCAGACUCCUACGGGAGGCAGCAGUGGGGAAUAUUGGACAAUGGGCGCAAGCCUGAUCCAGCCAUGCCGCGUGGAUGAUGAAGGCCCUAGGGUUGUAAAGUCCUUUUAACGGGGAAGAUAAUGACGGUACCCGUAGAAUAAGCCCCGGCUGACUUCGUGCCAGCAGCCGCGGUAAUACGAAGGGGGCUAGCGUUGCUCGGAAUUACUGGGCGUAAAGCGCACGUAGGCGGACCGAUAAGUCGGGGGUGAAAUCCUGGAGCUCAACUCCAGAACUGCCUUCGAAACUGCCGGUCUUGAGUUCGGGAGAGGUGAGUGGAACUGCGAGUGUAGAGGUGAAAUUCGUAGA
RNAcentral lists this ribosomal RNA (557 nucleotides) under uncultured Pseudolabrys sp. Its description in RNAcentral is "bacterial SSU rRNA". It matches the Rfam family "Bacterial small subunit ribosomal RNA", at positions 102 to 694 of the family's 1533-position model. The record is from RNAcentral. Lineage: Bacteria; Pseudomonadati; Pseudomonadota; Alphaproteobacteria; Hyphomicrobiales; Xanthobacteraceae.